RNAcentral lists this ribosomal RNA (253 nucleotides) under uncultured bacterium. Its description in RNAcentral is "partial 16S ribosomal RNA". It matches the Rfam family "Bacterial small subunit ribosomal RNA", at positions 524 to 776 of the family's 1533-position model. The record is from RNAcentral.
UACGGAGGGAGCUAGCGUUGUUCGGAAUUACUGGGCGUAAAGCGUGCGUAGGCGGCUUUGUAAGUUAGAGGUGAAAGCCCGGAGCUCAACUCCGGAAUUGCCUUUAAGACUGCAUCGCUUGAAUCCGGGAGAGGUGAGUGGAAUUCCGAGUGUAGAGGUGAAAUUCGUAGAUAUUCGGAAGAACACCAGUGGCGAAGGCGGCUCACUGGACCGGCAUUGACGCUGAGGUACGAAAGCGUGGGGAGCAAACAGG